UAGGUUGGCGUCGGAGACCCUUUUGGCAUGUCAACCGCCCAUAUCAUGGCAUCGGGAAUGUGUGGCAUUCGAACCGCCGGAGAUCUGGUGGCCUGGAUGC
Desulfobacteraceae bacterium 4572_123 is the source of this 100-nucleotide non-coding RNA. The record is from Rfam. NCBI's taxonomy places the organism in Bacteria, Pseudomonadati, Thermodesulfobacteriota, Desulfobacteria, Desulfobacterales, Desulfobacteraceae.